GACGAACGCUGGCGGCGUGCUUAACACAUGCAAGUCGAACGGAAAGGCCCUGCUUUUGUGGGGUGCUCGAGUGGCGAACGGGUGAGUAACACGGGAGUAACCUGCCCUUGACUUUGGGAUAACUUCAGGAAACUGGGGCUAAUACCGGAUAGGAGCUCCUGCUGCAUGGUGGGGGUUGGAAAGUUUCGGCGGUUGGGGAUGGACUCGCGGCUUAUCAGCUUGUUGGUGGGGGAGUGGCUUACCAAGGCUUUGACGGGUAGCCGGCCUGAGAGGGUGACCGGCCACAUUGGGACUGAGAUACGGCCCAGACUCCUACGGGAGGCAGCAGUGGGGAAUAUUGCACAAUGGGCGGAAGCCUGAUGCAGAAACGCCGCGUGCGGGAUGACGGCCUUCGGGUUGUAAACCGCUUUCGCCUGUGACGAAGCGUGAGUGACGGUAAUGGGUAAAGAAGCACCGGCUAACUACGUG
This 468-nucleotide ribosomal RNA is filed under the name uncultured bacterium. RNAcentral's name for it is "partial 16S ribosomal RNA". It matches the Rfam family "Bacterial small subunit ribosomal RNA", at positions 28 to 507 of the family's 1533-position model. The record is from RNAcentral.